This 433-nucleotide ribosomal RNA is filed under the name uncultured bacterium. RNAcentral describes it as "partial 16S ribosomal RNA". It matches the Rfam family "Bacterial small subunit ribosomal RNA", at positions 29 to 507 of the family's 1533-position model. The record is from RNAcentral.
AACGAACGCUGGCGGCAUGCCUAACACAUGCAAGUCGAACGAGACCUUCGGGUCUAGUGGCGCACGGGUGCGUAACGCGGGGGAACCUGCCCUUAGGUUCGGAAUAACUCCCCGAAAGGGGUGCUAAUACCGGAUAAUGUCUUCGGACCAAAGAUUUAUCGCCUUUGGAUGGGCCCGCGUUGGCUUAGCUAGUUGGUAGGGUAAAAGCCUACCAAGGCGACGAUCCAUAGCUGGUCUGAGAGGAUGAUCAGCCACACUGGGACUGAGACACGGCCCAGACUCCUACGGGAGGCAGCAGUGGGGAAUAUUGGACAAUGGGCGAAAGCCUGAUCCAGCAAUGCCGCGUGAGUGAUGCAGGCCUUAGGGUUGUAAAGCUCUUUUACCCGGGAUGAUAAUGACAGUACCGGGAGAAUAAGCUCCGGCUAACUCCGUG